CGCCAGGCUGUGUGGCACAUACAGUAUGUAAUUAGGUGACAGUGAAAGUCAAACCUGGAGGAAUGACAUAGGAAACACUUGUCAUGCUGUGUUGGUAAAAGACACCUUCGCUAACUUAAUGUAUCAUUCCAGGCGAAGUCACUAUGGAGCUACUUCAAAGGAAUCCGCAUUUCCCCACACACUGCAGCAUCUAAUGUACAAUGUAAAUACAGUCAAGCAACCACAAAGCCUCCUGGUCAGUCCAGGACUCUGCCAGCUGCUGCUCUGAAGUUACAGGCAUGGACCCUGUGACCCCAACAGAGCAGGUGAGAGCAGACAAGGUCCUGGGGCAGAGUGAUGUCCGUGGUUUUCUCUUUAAUGUCCCCUCCUCUCCCUCUCAUCCUUCAGAGCUGAGCUUCAAACAUGAUGGAGAAGGGAUUAAAACAGGACCACGGUCCGCUGCUCUUUCGGUACCCAGGAGAGGUGAUGCAUCAACCAAUGGCGAAUUCCUG
Esox lucius (northern pike) is the source of this 491-nucleotide long non-coding RNA. RefSeq lists it as uncharacterized. The transcript is spliced from 3 exons. NCBI's taxonomy places the organism in Eukaryota, Metazoa, Chordata, Actinopteri, Esociformes, Esocidae. The record is from RefSeq and is a predicted model, not a curated record.